Molecule: ribosomal RNA, 448 nt
Filed under: uncultured bacterium
Lineage: Bacteria
Description: bacterial SSU rRNA
Rfam family: Bacterial small subunit ribosomal RNA
Source: RNAcentral
GANACGCUGGCGGCAGGCUUAACACAUGCAAGUCGAACGCUCUCUUCGGAGAGAGUGGCAGACGGGUGAGUAACGCGUGGGAAUCUACCCAGUACUACGGAACAACAGUUAGAAAUGACUGCUAAUACCGUAUACGCCCUCCGGGGGAAAGAUUUAUCGGUAUUGGAUGAGCCCGCGUUUGAUUAGCUAGUUGGUGAGGUAAUGGCUCACCAAGGCGACGAUCAAUAGCUGGUCUGAGAGGAUGAUCAGCCACACUGGGACUGAGACACGGCCCAGACUCCUACGGGAGGCAGCAGUGGGGAAUAUUGGACAAUGGGCGCAAGCCUGAUCCAGCCAUGCCGCGUGUGUGAUGAAGGCCCUAGGGUUGUAAAGCACUUUCAACGGUGAAGAUAAUGACGGUAACCGUAGAAGAAGCUCCGGCUAACUUCGUGCCAGCAGCCGCGGUAAU